AUUGAACGCUGGCGGCAGGCCUAACACAUGCAAGUCGAGCGGUAGCACAGAGAGCUUGCCCUCGGGUGACGAGCGGCGGACGGGUGAGUAAUGUCUGGGAAACUGCCUGAUGGAGGGGGAUAACUACUGGAAACGGUAGCUAAUACCGCAUAACGUCGCAAGACCAAAGUGGGGGACCUUCGGGCCUCAUGCCAUCAGAUGUGCCCAGGUGGGAUUAGCUAGUAGGUGGGGUAACGGCUCACCUAGGCGACGAUCCCUAGCUGGUCUGAGAGGAUGACCAGCCACACUGGAACUGAGACACGGUCCAGACUCCUACGGGAGGCAGCAGUGGGGAAUAUUGCACAAUGGGCGCAAGCCUGAUGCAGCCAUGCCGCGUGUGUGAAGAAGGCCUUCGGGUUGUAAAGCACUUUCAGCGGGGAGGAAGGCGGUGAGGUUAAUAACCUCAUCGAUUGACGUUACCCGCAGAGGAAGCACCGGUUAACUCCGUGCCAGCCGCCGCCGUAA
RNAcentral lists this ribosomal RNA (504 nucleotides) under uncultured bacterium. Its description in RNAcentral is "partial 16S ribosomal RNA". It matches the Rfam family "Bacterial small subunit ribosomal RNA", at positions 29 to 523 of the family's 1533-position model. The record is from RNAcentral.